This 282-nucleotide small RNA is filed under the name Homo sapiens (human). RNAcentral describes it as "Metazoan signal recognition particle RNA (ENSG00000275909.1)". Lineage: Eukaryota; Metazoa; Chordata; Mammalia; Primates; Hominidae. The record is from RNAcentral.
GCCGGGCAUGGUGGCGCAUACCUGUAAUCCCAGCACUUUGGGAGGCCGAGGUGGGUGGAUCACUUGAGGCCAGGAGUUCGAGACCAGCCUGGGCAACAUGGCAAAACUCUGUCUCUACUAAAACUGCAAAAAUUAGUCAGGCAUGGUGGCACAUGCCUGUAAUCCCAGCUACUCGGGAGUCUGAGGCAUGAGAAGCACUUGAACCUGGGAGGUGGAGGUUGCAGUGAGCCGAGAUGGCGCCACUGCACUCCAGCCUGGGCAACAGAGUGAGACUCCAUCUCA